GCCCGGGUGGUGAAAUUGGUAGACACAAGGGACUUAAAAUCCCUCGGAGGCAACUCCGUGCCGGUUCGAGUCCGGCUCCGGGCACCA
This 87-nucleotide transfer RNA is filed under the name Pseudomonadales bacterium. RNAcentral's name for it is "tRNA-Leu". It matches the Rfam family "tRNA". From Rfam's summary of the family: Transfer RNA (tRNA) molecules are approximately 80 nucleotides in length. Their secondary structure includes four short double-helical elements and three loops (D, anti-codon, and T loops). Further hydrogen bonds mediate the characteristic L-shaped molecular structure. tRNAs have two regions of fundamental functional importance: the anti-codon, which is responsible for specific mRNA codon recognition, and the 3' end, to which the tRNAs corresponding amino acid is attached (by aminoacyl-tRNA synthetases). tRNAs cope with the degeneracy of the genetic code in two manners: having more than one tRNA (with a specific anti-codon) for a particular amino acid; and 'wobble' base-pairing, i.e. permitting non-standard base-pairing at the 3rd anti-codon position. Lineage: Bacteria; Pseudomonadati; Pseudomonadota; Gammaproteobacteria; Pseudomonadales. RNAcentral also lists the same sequence under 3 other names. The record is from RNAcentral.